GCUACUGAAUCAACAAUGUGUCAUUGUUGAUAAGGUAAGGGAAAAGAAAUGAUACUACCUUACUAUUAGUGUCGUCCAAAUACUCGUGCCAGAAGACUCGGUAAGGCGAGAGACGCAAACGUUAGUCGUCUUAAUCAGGCGUAAAGGGUUUGUAGGCGGCUUUAAGAAUUUACUCUUUUCUCAUUAAAAAUGUAGAUUAAAGAAAAAUCAAUUAAAGCUAGAAUCAAGAAGAGGUUAUUUAAAUAAUGCUUGAUAUAGGGUUGAUAUCUAUAGAAUUCAAGUGGAAUACUAACGGCGAAGGCUUUUUUCCAAUAAUGAUUGACGCUGAGAAACUAAGGUGAGGAUAGAAAAAAGGAUUAGAGACCCUCGUAUCCCUCACUGUCAACGAUGAAUGGUAGUUACUAGAAAAAAUAAUCUAGAGACGAUGUUAACACGUAAACCAUUCCGCCUUGUGAGUACGACUGCAAAGUUGAAAACAAAAAAAUUAGUCGGUUUCGGAGCAAACGAAGUGAAGCAUGUUAUUUAA
RNAcentral lists this ribosomal RNA (526 nucleotides) under Lyomyces orientalis. RNAcentral describes it as "partial small subunit ribosomal RNA". It matches the Rfam family "Bacterial small subunit ribosomal RNA", at positions 405 to 949 of the family's 1533-position model. The record is from RNAcentral. Lineage: Eukaryota; Fungi; Basidiomycota; Agaricomycetes; Hymenochaetales; Schizoporaceae.